CAGUCGCCGCGGUAAUACGUAGGUGGCAAGCGUUGUCCGGAAUUAUUGGGCGUAAAGCGCGCGCAGGCGGAUAGGUCAGUCUGUCUUAAAAGUUCGGGGCUUAACCCCGUGAUGGGAUGGAAACUGCCAAUCUAGAGUAUCGGAGGGGAAAGUGGAAUUCCUAGUGUAGCGGUGAAAUGCGUAGAUAUUAGGAAGAACACCAGUGGCGAAGGCGACUUUCUGGACGAAAACUGACGCUGAGGCGCGAAAGCCAGGGGAGCGAACGGGAUUAGAUACCCGCGUAGUCCCUGUCUCUUAUACA
This 301-nucleotide ribosomal RNA is filed under the name uncultured bacterium. RNAcentral describes it as "partial 16S ribosomal RNA". It matches the Rfam family "Bacterial small subunit ribosomal RNA", at positions 509 to 809 of the family's 1533-position model. The record is from RNAcentral.